Molecule: RNA transcript, 2273 nt
Organism: Oncorhynchus masou masou (cherry salmon)
Lineage: Eukaryota; Metazoa; Chordata; Actinopteri; Salmoniformes; Salmonidae
Gene: alpi.2
Gene name: alkaline phosphatase, intestinal, tandem duplicate 2
Exons: 13
Source: RefSeq, a predicted model, not a curated record
ACUAGCUUCAACCUUCCUAACUUUGUUCAGAUGUCCUAAUGUCAUUACAAAGCACAUAGUACACAUCAUGGCGAGUCAACAUACCCUCAUUGGAUUAAUCCUAUUUCUAUCGGUGGAUUGGACUUCAUCUGUCAUUCCAGAGAAUGAGAAGCAUCCCAGCUACUGGAACAACAAGGGGAAGCAGGCCCUCCACAAAGCUCUGGAUAUGAAGCCAAACAUCCGUCGGGCUAAGAACUCUAUUCUGUUCCUGGGAGAUGGUAUGGGCAUCCCCACAGUGACUGCAGCGAGGAUCCUCAAAGGACAGAUGAAUGGAGGGAACGGAGAGGAGUUUAGUCUGGCAAUGGACACCUUCCCACACUUAGCCCUGUCUAAGACGUACAACGUGGACCAGCAGAUGCCUGACAGUGCCGGCACAGCCACUGCCUACCUGUGUGGUGUGAAGGCCAACUAUGGAACCCUGGGUCUCAGUGCCUCAGCUCUGCGCUACAACUGCAACAGCACCUUCGGAAACGAGGUGGAAUCUGUCCUUCACCGCGCCAAGAUGGCGGGGAAGUCGGUGGGCAUCGUCUCCACCGCCCGUGUGCAGCAUGCCUCUCCUGGAGCCGCCUACUCCCACACAGCCAACCGAGGCUGGUAUGCCGACUCUGACAUGAACAUCGCAGACAUCACAGCAGGAUGCCGUGACAUCGCCUACCAGCUGGUCCACAACACUGACAUCAAUGUCAUUCUUGGUGGAGGACGAAAAUAUAUGUUUUCCAAGGAAACACCGGACCCAGAGUAUCCAUCACACAAAGGAGUCCGUAACGACAAGUUUGACCUCACCGCAGUGUGGCUCAAUAACAAACAGAAUGCAAAGUAUGUGUGGAACAAAGAUGAAUUUGACAAAGUGAAUCCGGAAAAAACAGACUACCUGAUGGGUCUGUUUGAGCCAAGUGACUGCCGCUAUGAGCUAGAGCGUGACCAUACCUUGGACCCUUCCCUCACUGAAAUGGUGGACAAAGCCAUCAAGAUCCUCCGCAGGAACCCCAAAGGAUACUACCUCUUUGUGGAAGGGGGGAGAAUUGAUCACGGUCACCAUGGCAGCGGGGCCAAAUUUGCCCUGACGGAGGCGGUGGAGUUUGACAAUGCCAUCGAGCGGGCGGCAGAACUGACCAGUGAGCUGGACACUCUGUCUGUGGUCACUGCUGACCACUCCCACGUCUUCUCCUUUGGAGGGCACUCCAACAGAGGGAACCCGGUCUUAGGUCUGUCCCGUAACCUGGCUGAUGAUAAAAAGAGCUUCACCACCACACUCUAUGGAAACGGACCAGGAUACAAGUUAGUCAAUGGGUCUCGUCCAGAUGUCAACACGACGGAAGCAGAUCACAAAGAUUACAAGCAGCAGUCAGCCGUACCUCUGGACUCUGAGACCCACGGCUCAGAGGACGUGGCCAUCUUUGCCAAGGGCCCCAUGGCCCACCUCUUUCACGGGGUCCAGGAGCAGAGCUACAUCGCCCAUGUCAUGGCCUACGCAGCCUGCAUUGAGCCCUACACAGACUGCUUCAUCCCAGACCUAGAACCAGAGCCUGGCCACACAGGAGCCACCAACCCCAGCCUCAUAGUGCUGCUGAUGGGCCUCAUACCUGCCCUCCUCUCCCUCUUCUCCCUCUGAUGGGCCUCAUACCUGCCCUCCUCUCCCUCUUCGCUGUCUGAUGGGCCUCAUACCUGCCCUCCUCUCCCUCUUCGCUGUCUGAUGGGCCUCAUACCUGCCCUCCUCUCCCUCUUCUCCCUCUGAUGGGCCUCAUACCUGCCCUCCUCUCCCUCUUCUCCCUCUGAUGGGCCUCAUACCUGCCCUCCUCUCCCUCUUCGCUGUCUGAUGGGCCUCAUACCUGCCCUCUUCUCCCUCUGAUGGGCCUCAUACCUGCCCUCCUCUCCCUCUGAUGGGCCUCAUACCUGCCCUCCUCUCCCUCUGAUGGGCCUCAUACCUGCCCUCUUCUCCCUCUGAUGGGCCUCAUACCUGCCCUCUUCUCCCUCUGAUGGGCCUCAUACCUGCCCUCCUCUCCCUCUUCGCUGUCUGAUGGGCCUCAUACCUGCCCUCCUCUCCCUCUUCGCUGUCUGAUGGGCCUCAUACCUGCCCUCCUCUCCCUCUUCGCUGUCUGAUGGGCCUCAUACCUGCCCUCCUCUCCCUCUUCGCUGUCUGAUGGGCCUCAUACCUGCCCUCCUCUCCCUCUUCACUGUCUGAUGGGCCUCAUACCUGCACUCUUCUCCCUCUGGGCCUCAUACCUGCCCUCCUC